This 337-nucleotide unclassified non-coding RNA is filed under the name soil metagenome. RNAcentral describes it as "partial contains 5.8S ribosomal RNA, internal transcribed spacer 2, and large subunit ribosomal RNA". The stretch from base 1 to 120 matches the Rfam family "5.8S ribosomal RNA", at positions 35 to 154 of the family's 154-position model. The record is from RNAcentral.
GAUGAAGAACGUAGCGAAAUGCGAUAAGUAAUGUGAAUUGCAGAAUUCAGUGAAUCAUCGAAUCUUUGAACGCACAUUGCGCCCGCUGGUAUUCCGGCGGGCAUGCCUGUUCGAGCGUCAUUUCAACCCUCAAGCCCCCCGGCUUGUGUUGGGGACCUGCGGCUGCCGCAGGCCCUGAAAAGCAGUGGCGGGCUCGCUGUCACACCGAGCGUAGUAGAUCUCAUCUCGCUCAGGGCGUGCUGCGGGUUCCGGCCGUUAAACCACCUUCAUAACCCAAGGUUGACCUCGGAUCAGGUAGGAAGACCCGCUGAACUUAAGCAUAUCAAUAAGCGGAGGA